CAUAUUUUUCCAAUAUAAUUUGGUGGUUGUGGAUUUAGAUGAACCAUAAAUCCUUUGAUGGAAUUUGUUUGAACAGGACACUGUAUUUGAUUCAGUAUCUGUUACUUGUGGGCAUAUCUUCUGCUACGUGUGUGCUUGCAAAUCUGGAUCGGUGACAAUUGUUCAUGGAUUACAAGCAGCAAAAUCGACAGCAAAAUGCCCUCUUUGGCGAGAGAUAUUUCCUAAGUGUUUUUGGUUCCCGCUGCAACGCGCCGACUCCCCACUAGUGUUUUAUUAUCAUCCCCUCUACUUUUCACAUGGUAUGAUUAUAAUUUAUGAGUUAAUUACGUUUUUCGUCCCUGUAGUUUGUCAAAAAUCAUUAUUUUAUUCCAUUAGUUUAAUAAUUUUUAAAACAAAAUCUAUGUGGUUUCAUUUUCGUAACUAGUACAGUUCACCCUCACUAACGCCAUCCAAUUAUUUUGUUAUUUUAUUUGACUUGACCAUAAUGCCCCUUUUAUUAAAAAAUAAAAUUAAAAUAAAUAUUUUCGUCCCUGUGGUUUGUCAAAAAUCACUAUUUUAUUCCAUUAGUUUAAUAAUUUCUAAAACAAUCCAUGUGGUUUCAUUUUCGUAACUAUUACAGUCCACCCUCACUAACGCCAUCCAAUUAUUCUGGUAUUUUAUUUGAAAUGACCAUAAUGCCCCUUUAUUAAAAAUAAAAUUAAAAUAAAUUAAGUGUUAGUUAUGUUUUCCGUCGCUAUGGUUUGUCAAAAAUAAACAUUACAGUCCAUGAGUUUUAGAUAUUGCCAAAACACCUCAUUGUAAUGUUUUGACAAUUUUUAGAACUAAUAGAUUGUAAUGGUUAAUUUUAAUAAACUACGGGGACGAAAAACGUAACUAACUCUUUAUUAUUUUAAUUUUAAGCAAUAAUGGAAUUUAAUAAUCCCAACUUUCACCAGUUGGCCGGCAACGGACCCAACUUUAAAAAUAACCACUGACAGUCCCACCUUUUUACAUUUUGUAAAACAUUGGACCUUUGCUAACAGUGUUAUAACGUUGAUGACGUGGCAUGAUGUCAUGUCAUAAAUUUUAAAUUGGGAUGAUUACAUGGCAAGUUGGCUGAUUAUGUGGGCCUGAACUUGAAUAUGUGGCAUUUAUAAUAACAUUUUUAUUUUAUAUCUUUCCUGCCAUCAUAUAUAAUCCAAUUAAACCUUAAAAUCUAUAACAAACAUAAGAUGGAACUCAGCUGCUCAUCGUCUUGAACCUCUGGUACCCAGAAAAACCCUAGAAAGUUCAAAGUCGAUAGAGACAGAAAUGUGUACUGCAAUCACGAUAUCCUAGCCAUAUCUAGGGUUGUUGAACGAAGAAGUGCUCGAAGUGGGGAAGCAUUUUAUGGUUGUGCUUUAUGGCCUGUAAGUUAGCAUGUUAAAUUAGGAUUUUUGGUUGUAAUUCACGUUUAACUUGGUUAUUUAUCUUCUGAUAGAAACAAGACUGCAAAUUUUUCAUUUGGAAAUCUGACAUCGAAGCAUUCUGUAUUGAACAUGGAAGAAAUGAACAAGAAUUGGUGAUUGAGAAUCUCAAAUUGCAGGAAGAGAACAAGAUGUUGAAACAGCAACUUGCAAAUAAAAAAUCGACUUGGAAGAAUCUGCUUUGUUUGGCCAUUGUUGUGAUAGGAAGUUAUCCGAUAAACGGUUGGCAAUUGUUAGUAUUUUCUGUUAGGAAAUGGGAAUCCCUGGUAAUGUAUGCACUGUUUGUAUUAUGUGGCUGUUGCCUAAUGAUUUUGUAAUGCUAGUUAUUUUGGCUGUUGCCACUAGUAUUUUGUGGCUGUUCGGAACACAUUCAAACCAACAUUACAAAUGUUCAUACACACUA
Molecule: long non-coding RNA, 1848 nt
Organism: Helianthus annuus (common sunflower)
Lineage: Eukaryota; Viridiplantae; Streptophyta; Magnoliopsida; Asterales; Asteraceae
Exons: 2
Source: RefSeq, a predicted model, not a curated record